AUUACAUCUAUCAUCCUAAUGGAGGUGUAGAUUACAUCUAUCAUCCUAAUGGAGGUGUAGAUUACAUCUAUCAUCCUAAUGGAGGUGUAGAUUACAUCUAUCAUCCUAACGGAGGUGUAGAUUACAUCUAUCAUCCUAACGGAGGUGUAGAUUACAUCUAUCAUCCUAAAGGAGGUGUAGAUUACAUCUAUCAUCCUAACGGAGGUGUAGAUUACAUCUAUCAUCCUAAUGGAGGUGUAGAUUACAUCUAUCAUCCUAAAGGAGGUGUAGAUUACAUCUAUCAUCCUAACGGAGGUGUAGAUUACAUCUAUCAUCCUAAUGGAGGUGUAGAUUACAUCUAUCAUCCUAAAGGAGGUGUAGAUUACAUCUAUCAUCCUAAAGGAGGUGUAGAUUACAUCUAUCAUCCUAAUGGAGGUGUAGAUUACAUCUAUCAUCCU
Molecule: long non-coding RNA, 437 nt
Organism: Oncorhynchus keta (chum salmon)
Lineage: Eukaryota; Metazoa; Chordata; Actinopteri; Salmoniformes; Salmonidae
Exons: 3
Source: RefSeq, a predicted model, not a curated record